RNAcentral lists this unclassified non-coding RNA (3418 nucleotides) under Leishmania donovani. Its description in RNAcentral is "gene:LdHU3.35.6390(CDS-product:hypothetical_prote in_conserved)". The record is from RNAcentral. Lineage: Eukaryota; Euglenozoa; Kinetoplastea; Trypanosomatida; Trypanosomatidae.
AGUAGUGCCUUACAGAAUCAACCAACUCGCGUGUCUCUUUUUUGUUUUUUUUCGUUUUCUUCUGUGUGCAUGCUUUUGCCCAGCUCGCUUCCCCCCGCUUCCCCUCUUCUCCCUCCGCCCUCUCCCACGCCAUUUUUCUUCUACCCGUCCCCUUUUUUCUGCGCAACAAGAAGGCCAGUGACACUUGUGCGCGCACAUCUUGCUGUAGCUCCUCACUGCUAUUCUACAGUUUGUGCUUCCUCUUUGUUUCUCUAGCCUGAGCAUCUCACGCCGUCGUCACCAUCUUUGCUUGAAACACCUUCAGGUCGUUUUUUUUUACCUUGGGACUUCCUGUGAAGCCCACCAACUCCGCGCAGACGAGACACAACUACGUCGGAGGUGCAAGCUGCUGCAAUGGCCGCGCCGGGCCUAUGGGUGUGCUCGAACUGCUCUGUGGAGCAGAUGGCGGAGACUACCUACUGCCACAUGUGCAAGUUCGCCCGGCCAAUGGAUCGCCGCGGUGUGCCGCAGAUUUUUUCUGGAUACAACAUCCACUUCAACGGCAUCAUCCCUCGCACGAUCAUGCACCCGAGCCACUCGGUGGAGUGGCGCAUGGCAGAGCGCCACGGUGCUACCUGCUGCACGAGCUUCGACCCCGCAGUAGUCAGCAUUCUUGUCUACCGCCCCGGCUAUGAGCGCAGCGAGAAGUGCCGCACCUGCCUUGAACACCACCCGAACAUUCCGUGCGUCCCGAUCGCGUGGCUGCUGGACUCGCUCCUACAGUCGCGCCAGAUUCAUCCCUCACUCUACCGCCUGACGCGUUUGCUGCCCGUGGCAAACCCGACGGUAGGCGGCACCGACCUGCCUCACCACCAGCACCCAUUCUACCAGAUCAACAAGUCAGAGUACAGCAUCCCCACCUCCUUCCCCCCCUCCAAGAACAAGGGGCCCAAGAAGUCCGCGGCGGCUGAGGGUGCGAAUAACCAGAAUGAGGUGCCGGGCGAAAUGGAGGCGGCUAUUCCGCCUUUCUUCGAUAUCGAACCGUUCCGGUGCACAGCUAUGUCAGUCUUCGACGCGGCGGUGGCGUGCGCGACCGGCGUGAAAACCGAGGCUGUCGACGACGACAACGACAAGAUCGAGGCUCGCAAAACGAAGCCCGGCAUUGAGCUCAUUGCCGCGCAGCAGCCGAGCAACAAGGUGGACCGAGCGCUUUUCAGCGGCAUGAAUGUGGUGCUCACGCCAUCCCUGCAGGGGCAGACGGCGGUUGUGAUGACUAUUCAGCGAUGCGGUGGGAAGAUUGCAGAGAAGCGGGAAUCGCUGGAGGCGACGCUGCGGAAUAAUGUGACUCACGUCAUCUACUCCCACGAGGACAAGAAGGAUGAUGUCAUGAUCCAGGCAGCGCACCUUAUCAGUACCAACCUCCCCGGGCUUCAGCUGGCUCAAUCGAACUGGCUGGAGGACUGCCUCAUCCUUGGUGAGCUGUUGCCGCUUCGCGGCAUGUACACUCCGACCGCAAAGCUGCUAGAGACGCUCAACAAGAAGUACACGAAGGCAAGAAGCUGAGCCCUCUGAUACUCGGUUUUCGUCCCUUGCUUGUGUGUGUUCAUGGCUGCACUCAAGGAUCCCUGUGCGCCCACUGCCGUGUCGCGUGUGCGUAUGUGCUUUCUUCUUUUGUGAUUCACACUCUUUGCUUUUCCUUCAUUGCCAAUGUCGUAGGUGGGUGGCGGGAGGAGGCGUUCUUCCCUCCGCCCCCGCGUCAGUGCGUGCGUGAAGCCGCAUAGUGGGCCCACUUUGUGAAUGCGCGUUGUGUGUGUGCGUGUAUCUCUUUCUGGUCUCCAUUUCUUCUGCCGCUCCUCGCCGAUAUAUCGUGCAGCUGCGUCAUGUUAGUCCCCCUCCUCCUCCCCCUUUUCAGGUGUUUCUAUUUCGUCUUCGAGGCUUUAAACUUCUCCUGUACCGCCGCUGUUUCAGGUCACGCAAGAACGAUGAUGGGAACCUGCCAUCACUGACGCCGUCUUCCAGGACGGCCUGUUCUUAUGUUCCUACCCUCUUUUUCCACCCCUCCAGAACACUUUUGCAUGGCAAAAAGCGUGGAUGUAGUGGCGAGUGCGUGUUCACUCUUUUUACUGAUUUUAUGUGGCUUUCGUUGUCUUUGUGCGCCACUCCUGCUGCUUUCUGUUUUGCGCAUUCUGCUGAGAUCUUGCGUUGUCGCGGGGGGGGGUGUUGCGCACGAUGGCCGCACGCCUCCCCUUCACGGAUGUGCGAGCAGGGGGAAGGUGCCCUCCAUUCAAGGACGAUGAUGACCGGCGCGGAUUUUGUGAACCCACCCUCCCCGUUUUGCGCUUCUGCCGUCAAGGGAUUUCCCUAGUCCGGUGCUUUUGUAUCUGCGUGCGUGUGAAUUGUGAAUUGAAUGAGUGAGAACGCUGCGGGCAGUCAGGGAGACGAGGGAUGAGCCCCUUCCGGUGCGUGUGUGCUGUGAGGAAGUCGACAUCUGUUGCUGGGCAGCUCGCUAUGGAAUCGCAGCGAGCACAUACGAGCACCAAGGGAGUCGGAAAAGACCUGAGGUGCUGCCGCGAUGCACAUGCGUUAGAUUCCAUGGACGAAUGCGCACAUUUAGGGAAGCGCGUAACGGAGUCGGUGCCCUUUCUGUUUGAAUUUUCGGUUUCGAGGUAGGUAUGCGCUGCCUCACACGUUCUUAUGCCCGAGAAAGGCACAGAGACCAACCCUUGCGAGGCGGUGCAGCCCGAGGAACACGACACAGGAAGGGGGAAUAGAAAGAGGAGGUCUUUCCGUGCGAUCUCCAGCAGCAGCGACCGGAAACAGAAAACAAAUGGAAAUGCCUUGACUCACAGACUUCAUUGUAGAACACGGGCGGGUGGAGCCGCACUUCUUUUUCUUCACCUCUUUGUCUCUCUUUUUUUCUUAGUAUGCUGCCCAAGGACAUCGUUCCUUCCACGUUCCAAAACCCCUCCCCCACCGCCACCGCCACCAUCUCUCUCUGUUUUUUUUUUCCUUUCAUCAUCUACGUCUUUAGUGCCUUUUCUUUAUUUGCCUACUUCGUCAAUGUGUGUGCGUGCGCGUGCCUCUCUCCCUCUCUCUGUGGAGGAGGGGGGAGGGCAAACGUGUUGUGAGUUGGGGAUAGUUGACUGCUUGAGAGGAUUGGUCUGUGCGCGCAUCCUUGUUCUAUAGUCCUUUCCUCCUUUGGGUACCGUUCUCUUCAGUCUCUUUUUUCGUGUGUGUGUGUUGUCAUUUUCUUGCCACCGUCGCGGUUCUUCGUCUAUGUCUUUCUCCGUGUAUGCGUGCUUGCUGGUGUGCACGUGGGUACAUGCGUCGGUGCCGGUUGAUUCCAGAAUUUUGCGUUUUUUUUUCUACUUGUCUUCCCUCUUAGCCGAUCCUUCACGCGCUUGCUUUCAGACGACUAUCACGGAAGGUCACGUAACGG